UGGGGAAUAUUGCGCAAUGGGGGCAACCCUGACGCAGCCAUGCCGCGUGAAUGAAGAAGGCCUUCGGGUUGUAAAGUUCUUUCGGUAUUGAGGAAGGUUGAUGUGUUAAUAGUACAUCAAAUUGACGUUAAAUACAGAAGAAGCACCGGCUAACUCCGUGCCAGCAGCCGCGGUAAUACGGAGGGUGCGAGCGUUAAUCGGAAUAACUGGGCGUAAAGGGCACGCAGGCGAUUAUUUAAGUGAGGUGUGAAAGCCCCGGGCUUAACCUGGGAAUUGCAUUUCAGACUGGGUAACUAGAGUACUUUAGGGAGGGGUAGAAUUCCACGUGUAGCGGUGAAAUGCGUAGAGAUGUGGAGGAAUACCGAAGGCGAAGGCAGCCCCUUGGGAAUGUACUGACGCUCAUGUGCGAAAGCGUGGGGAGCAAACAGGAUUAGAUACCCUGGUAGUCCACGCUGUAAACGCUGUCGAUUUGGGGGUUGGGGUUUAACUCUGGCGCCCGUAGCUAACGUGAUAAAUCGACCGCCUGGGGAGUACGGCCGCAAGGUUA
RNAcentral lists this ribosomal RNA (547 nucleotides) under uncultured bacterium. Its description in RNAcentral is "bacterial SSU rRNA". It matches the Rfam family "Bacterial small subunit ribosomal RNA", at positions 355 to 896 of the family's 1533-position model. The record is from RNAcentral.